CUGCUGCUAAGGUUUCCACUACAGAAGCAAGAAAAAGAAGGUCCUUGUGCUUUCUGCCUGUCUGGUUAUGGCAGCCAAGAUUGAAUGCGGGAAUACAGGG
Molecule: small nucleolar RNA, 100 nt
Filed under: Dasypus novemcinctus (nine-banded armadillo)
Lineage: Eukaryota; Metazoa; Chordata; Mammalia; Cingulata; Dasypodidae
Description: Small nucleolar RNA SNORA31 (ENSDNOG00000030041.1)
Source: RNAcentral